RNAcentral lists this ribosomal RNA (415 nucleotides) under uncultured microorganism. RNAcentral's name for it is "bacterial SSU rRNA". It matches the Rfam family "Archaeal small subunit ribosomal RNA", at positions 330 to 745 of the family's 1478-position model. The record is from RNAcentral.
GCGCAGCAGUCGCGAAACCUCCGCAAUGCUCGAAAGAGCGACGGGGGACUCCAAGUGCCUACGCUUUGCGUAGGCUUUUCCCAAGCCUAAAAAGACUUGGGGAAUAAGGGCUGGGUAAGACGGGUGCCAGCCGCCGCGGUAAUACCCGCAGCCCGAGUGGUGGCCGCUUUUAUUGGGCCUAAAGCGUCCGUAGCCGGUCUGGUAAAUGCCUGGGGUAAAUCGUCUGGCUCAACCAGACGAAUUCCGGGUAGACUGCCAGACUAGGGGACCGGAGGAAGGAGAGGGUACUCCGGGGGUAGGGGUGAAAUCCUGUAAUCCUCGGAGGACCACCGGUGGCGAAGGCGCUCUCCUAGGACGGGUCCGACGGUGAGGGACGAAAGCCAGGGGAGCAAACCGGAUUAGAUACCCGCGUAGU